RNAcentral lists this ribosomal RNA (374 nucleotides) under uncultured organism. RNAcentral's name for it is "partial 16S ribosomal RNA". It matches the Rfam family "Bacterial small subunit ribosomal RNA", at positions 527 to 896 of the family's 1533-position model. The record is from RNAcentral.
AGAGGGUGCAAGCGUUAAUCGGGACUGACUGGGCGUAAAGGGCAUGUAGGCGGUAAUACAAGUUAUCUGUGAAAAUCUUGGGGCUUUAACCUAAGACGUGCAGCUAAUACUGUGUAACUGGAGUUUAGUAGAGGAGAGCGGAAUUUCCGGAGUAGCGGUGAAAUGCGUAGAUACCGGAAGGAACAUUCGUGGCGAAGGCGGCUCUCUGGACUAAAACUGACGCUGAGGUGCGAAAGCGUGGGGAGCGAACAGGAUUAGAUACCCUGGUAGUCCACGCUGUAAACGAUGAGUACUAGCUGUUGGAAUGCGAUGACAUUUUAGUAGCGCAGCAAACGCGAUAAGUACUCCGCCUGGGGAUUACGGCCGCAAGGCUA